GCAGGCUUAACACAUGCAAGUCGAACGGGCACCUUCGGGUGUCAGUGGCAGACGGGUGAGUAACACGUGGGAACAUACCCUUCGGUUCGGAACAACUCAGGGAAACUUGAGCUAAUACCGGAUACGCCCUUACGGGGAAAGAUUUAUUGCCGAAGGAUUGGCCCGCGUCUGAUUAGCUAGUUGGUGAGGUAACGGCUCACCAAGGCGACGAUCAGUAGCUGGUCUGAGAGGAUGAUCAGCCACACUGGGACUGAGACACGGCCCAGACUCCUACGGGAGGCAGCAGUGGGGAAUAUUGGACAAUGGGCGAAAGCCUGAUCCAGCCAUGCCGCGUGAGUGAUGAAGGCCUUAGGGUUGUAAAGCUCUUUCGACGGGGACGAUAAUGACGGUACCCGUAGAAGAAGCCCCGGCUAACUUCGUGCCAGCAGCCGCGGUAAUACGAAGGGGGCUAGCGUUGCUCGGAAUCACUGGGCGUAAAGGGCGCGUAGGCGGCCAUUCAAGUCAGAGGUGAAAGCCCAAGGCUCAACCUUGGAAUUGCCUUUGAUACUGUUUGGCUUGAGACCGGAAGAGGUAAGUGGAACUGCGAGUGUAGAGGUGAAAUUCGUAGAUAUUCGCAAGAACACCAGUGGCGAAGGCGGCUUAUUGGUCCGGUUCUGACGCUGAGGCGCGAAAGCGUGGGGAGCAGACAGG
This 690-nucleotide ribosomal RNA is filed under the name uncultured Alphaproteobacteria bacterium. RNAcentral describes it as "bacterial SSU rRNA". It matches the Rfam family "Bacterial small subunit ribosomal RNA", at positions 42 to 776 of the family's 1533-position model. The record is from RNAcentral. Lineage: Bacteria; Pseudomonadati; Pseudomonadota; Alphaproteobacteria.